Molecule: long non-coding RNA, 341 nt
Organism: Erinaceus europaeus (western European hedgehog)
Lineage: Eukaryota; Metazoa; Chordata; Mammalia; Eulipotyphla; Erinaceidae
Exons: 2
Source: RefSeq, a predicted model, not a curated record
AGAACACUGCUCAACUUUGGCUUCUGGUCAUACAGGGGAUUGAACCUGGCACUUUGGAGCCUCAGGCAUGAGAGUCUCUUAGAAUUUUGAGAGCUUUUCACCUGCUUGAAGAACAUCAGAUUGUAUACUUGCCCUUGAGUGGAGUGCCCCUCAUGAUUCUUGAGAAGGACAAGGAAGUUGACAGGCUGCUGAACCUGGGUCUCCCUUCCCCCGUGAAGAUGUUCACCCCACUGUGGGAAUCUGAUAGAUUCCAGUGUCCUUCAAUCAUUCUGUCAACCCUGGAUGUUGAAUUGCCACCUAUUUGCUAUGACUGAACUAUUUAAACUUGACACUUUGUGGUU